AGAUUAGUGUUUGCUCUCAUUUU
RNAcentral lists this non-coding RNA (23 nucleotides) under Arabidopsis thaliana (thale cress). Lineage: Eukaryota; Viridiplantae; Streptophyta; Magnoliopsida; Brassicales; Brassicaceae. The record is from RNAcentral.